GACGAACGCUGGCGGCGUGCUUAACACAUGCAAGUCGAACGGAAAGGCCCUGCAUUUGUGGGGUGCUCGAGUGGCGAACGGGUGAGUAACACGUGAGUAACCUGCCCUUGACUUUGGGAUAACGUCAGGAAACUGGGGCUAAUACCGGAUAGGAGCUCCUGCUGCAUGGUGGGGGUUGGAAAGUUUCGGCGGUUGGGGAUGGACUCGCGGCUUAUCAGCUUGUUGGUGGGGUAGUGGCUUACCAAGGCCUUGACGGGUAGCCGGCCUGAGAGGGUGACCGGCCACAUUGGGACUGAGAUACGGCCCAGACUCCUACGGGAGGCAGCAGUGGGGAAUAUUACACAAUGGGGGGAAGCCUGAUGCAGCAACGCCGCGUGCGGGAUGACGGCCUUCGGGUUGUAAACCGCUUUCGCCUGUGACGAAGCGUGAGUGACGGUAAUGGGUAAAGAAGCACCGGCUAACUACGUG
This 468-nucleotide ribosomal RNA is filed under the name uncultured bacterium. RNAcentral describes it as "partial 16S ribosomal RNA". It matches the Rfam family "Bacterial small subunit ribosomal RNA", at positions 28 to 507 of the family's 1533-position model. The record is from RNAcentral.